RNAcentral lists this long non-coding RNA (1691 nucleotides) under Sus scrofa (pig). Its description in RNAcentral is "lncRNA (ENSSSCG00065027948.1)". The record is from RNAcentral. Lineage: Eukaryota; Metazoa; Chordata; Mammalia; Artiodactyla; Suidae.
UGGGUACUCAGGGAGCCACCUUUCAACAGCACCAUGAUAUCUCAGCCAUUCGAUUAUGUUCUCUGGGAAUUAAAAGAGGGAAUUGUGAAAGUCUCUAUGUAGAAAGACCUAGUUAAACAUGUAAGAAAGAGAAAGCUAUAUAAUUUCUUUGGUUAAAAAGGGUACUCUGACAGUCAACUCUAAUAUGAAAGUAAUUUUCUCCAUAUUAAUAGCCAGCUAAUAUCUGUAUCCUAGCAUGCACUUUUUUCUAACAUUAUCUUCACUUUGGAGAGUAAAAUUAGCCCCAUUCUACAGUUAGAAAAAUGAAGACACAGAGCAUUCAAGGAUUUCAUUCAAAAUAACAAAAGAGCCAGACAAAAGCUAAUGGCUUACAGAUGUAGGAUAUUUUUCAAAGAAGAAGCACAAAUCAUGUUAUCUUUGAUGUAACAUGUGUAGAACUAACAAAACGCCUGCCUUUGAGAUUUACAAUAGUCAGAGGGGAAAAAAAUCUUUUUCAUCUUUUUUAUUUUAAAAUUCCUCUGUGUAUGUAGUCAUUUCUCUAAAACCAAGCCAAGUUAUUUUUUAUGAAUAACAAAUUUAACUAAAUAAAUUAUGCAACAAGUUAAAUUAAAAUUUCCUUGUAGUAAAUCUUAAAAAUGUCUUCUCCUCUUUACCAGUUCUUUUAUGGGAGAAAAACACAGGCAUGAUGACAAUGGCCAAAACUAAGGUCAUUCUCUUUCUUCCCAAAUCCAGUUGACUGAACUAGUUGUUGCACUGGAGAAGUCACAACAGCCUUAUCUAGUGAGACAGACUUACCGUGUGGCAGGCACAGAGGUCUCUGCCUUCAGGUGGCUUUCUGACCAGAGGUGGUGGGUAAGACAGAUGUGCUCGGAGGCGUGAACCUGGAUGCCCAUCCAUGUUAGGGGAGCACAAGGGAGGCCAUCAAACUUGGGCUAAGGAUCAGGGUACCAUUUAUGGAUGAGGUGAGAGCCAAACUAAUACCUAAAAUAUGUGUAGGAAUGAGCCUGGUGAGGGAAUGUGAGAAAUGACCCAAAAAGGUAGAACAGGAUGUGAGAAGAUCUAGAAGAGAAAAGGCUGGCAGCAUAUUAGUAGAAUCUAAAGAAAUCCAGUGCGACAGGAGUGAUAGGGAGCGGAGAUAACCUACCUAUUAGAAUCUCCCUUUGGCACUUUUUGAAUAUAUUAGAUUUAUGAACACUCGGUAGUAUGCUAGUUAAAUAGAUCACACUAAGACCCAACUGCUGAUGCACAUACCACUUGAUGUGUAUAUGUAUGUAUAACUGGGUCACCAUCCUGUACAGUAGAAAAAAAAAUCGUAUUGGGGAAAUAAAAAUUUUAAAAAUGAAUAAAUUCAUAGAAGGAGGUGAAAUAAAAACAAACAAACAAAAAACCCACCUUUCAAUUAAAAUAUUCUUUGCCAAAAAAAAAAAAAAGAGGUCAAAGGAAAUUUUUUUUUAAAAGCUCUGACAUUUGCUUUCUAUCUUGUCUAGUUACUUUUUAGAAAGAUAGUUGAGGGAGUUCCCUGGCACAGCAGAAAUGAAUCUGACUGGUAUCCAUGAGAAUGCAGGUUUGAUCCCUGCCCUGAGCUGUGGCGUAGGUUGCAGAUGCAGCUUGGAUCCUGCGUUGCUGUGGCUGUGACUUAGGCCAGCAGCUGUAGCUCCAAUUUGACCCUUAGCCUAGGAACCUCCAUAUGC